RNAcentral lists this ribosomal RNA (789 nucleotides) under Salmonella enterica subsp. enterica serovar Kentucky. Its description in RNAcentral is "partial 23S ribosomal RNA". It matches the Rfam family "Bacterial large subunit ribosomal RNA", at positions 566 to 1315 of the family's 2925-position model. Lineage: Bacteria; Pseudomonadati; Pseudomonadota; Gammaproteobacteria; Enterobacterales; Enterobacteriaceae. The record is from RNAcentral.
CGCGGUGGCGGAGCGUCGUUUGCGACGCCCAACACACAAAACAAGCGGUGAGUGCUUUGGGGUGGGGUGACUGCGUACCUUUUGUAUAAUGGGUCAGCGACUUAUAUUCUGUAGCAAGGUUAACCGUAUAGGGGAGCCGAAGGGAAACCGAGUCUUAACUGGGCGUUAAGUUGCAGGGUAUAGACCCGAAACCCGGUGAUCUAGCCAUGGGCAGGUUGAAGGUUGGGUAACACUAACUGGAGGACCGAACCGACUAAUGUUGAAAAAUUAGCGGAUGACUUGUGGCUGGGGGUGAAAGGCCAAUCAAACCGGGAGAUAGCUGGUUCUCCCCGAAAGCUAUUUAGGUAGCGCCUCGUGAACUCAUCUUCGGGGGUAGAGCACUGUUUCGGCUAGGGGGUCAUCCCGACUUACCAACCCGAUGCAAACUGCGAAUACCGAAGAAUGUUAUCACGGGAGACACACGGCGGGUGCUAACGUCCGUCGUGAAGAGGGAAACAACCCAGACCGCCAGCUAAGGUCCCAAAGUCACAGUUAAGUGGGAAACGAUGUGGGAAGGCUCAGACAGCCAGGAUGUUGGCUUAGAAGCAGCCAUCAUUUAAAGAAAGCGUAAUAGCUCACUGGUCGAGUCGGCCUGCGCGGAAGAUGUAACGGGGCUAAACUGUGCACCGAAGCUGCGGCAGCGACGCUUAUGCGUUGUUGGGUAGGGGAGCGUUCUGUAAGCCUGCGAAGGUGUCCUGUGAGGGAUGCUGGAGGUAUCAGAAGUGCGAAUGCUGACAUAAGUAACGAUAA